This 393-nucleotide ribosomal RNA is filed under the name Triticum aestivum (bread wheat). RNAcentral's name for it is "partial small subunit ribosomal RNA". Lineage: Eukaryota; Viridiplantae; Streptophyta; Magnoliopsida; Poales; Poaceae. The record is from RNAcentral.
AUGCUUGAUCUUAUUAAAGCUAUACUAACCAAUAGUAUUGUCGUAGUUUGUAGCAAUGGUAUAUCAAGUAGCCGGGUCUACUCUAAAUUACAAAACAUUUGCAGUGAAGUGUGUACUAUUAUUAUUGUUCAUUCGACAAUGAUUGACACCAAAAAGUUAUGUGUGAAAGGGAGUGCUGUUUGUGUUAAGCAGUGGGUUUUCAUGAUCGCGCUCAAAAGGCUCUCGAUACAAUUGAUCUCCUUUACAGAUACAUCUUCUCUGAUUCUUUGCCAAUGGCAUGUCUUCUUACGUUUUCUGUAUACUUCAGAUUCAGAGCAUGUGCCAAUUUCCUCAUAUAUAUUUCUUCUAGCAUGUUCAGUGUUCAUGGGUUGGUGGUGGUGUGGUCCAUUUUGA